GUAUGUACCCCCCCCCCCCCCACCCCCCAUAUCCCAUUCUGUACCAACAUGAGCUCCCAUCACUAAUAACGGUCUCUGAACUGAAAGUAAGUAUACAAAUAUCAAUAAAAUGAAAACAUCUGGCUGACGCUGCUGUGAGGAAACGACAUCUUAGGGAUCCAGUCACACCGGAAGCCAGCCCACCCAUGACCACAGAGGGCGCUCCCACAGGAACCACCCAGGUCAGGGCAGGCCAGGGUCCACACCACAGCCACCCAGACAAGGGCAGUCACCAUGGCAACAACCCCACAGACACAGCAGGCAGAGCCACCUGUGUGAAGGAUCCCCUGGAGGAAAGGAAUGAUCUCAAUUCAGAAUAAAAAUAUUUUUUGUAAAAAUUAACCUAAUUUAAAAAACAUAUAUGUUCAUUUGUUAAUUCCUAACCGUGUUUUGUUUGUUUGUUUGUUUUUUCCUAAUUCAGGAAAAUAAUUUGAAUUUAAGAUGCUACAUCAAACAAACCAGAGGAGACUGUCCUCCAUCUGCAGGCACCAACAGUUCGCAGAAUAAAAACAUCUCUGGUCAUCCUCAGACUGAAGUGACAAAGUUCCAACCAAAGCGCUGCUCAGGAGGAGUCCGAGACUCUGCAGAUGAACUGAAGGCUGGUGCAGAACCUGUUUCUGUCCUGAAUGUCCACACCUCCGUCAUGUCUUCUGCUGCACUCAACGAUCAGCAUAAACCCACAGAAAAGACGGUUUCCAUCUGUAACUACCUGAUCACUGUGGGAAAUCAGACCGAUUUAAACAGGUCUUGACUGAUCAGGUGAUGAAAGUACAGUAGAAGCAACGAGGGAAUCCUUCAGACAUCAACACACCGAGCAGAACGAGUGAGGGAUGCCGUUAAGAUGUCCAGCAACUGACCUGUGACAUGCAGCAGCUCAGAGGAGCCAAACUUGACCUCACUAAGAGAACAGAAGGUUCUCUGCAGGUUUAUGUGCUGCAGCAGGAGAUGAUGAAAAGAGGAAAAUGGUUCUUAUUGUCAUGCUGUUUCUCAUAUUGAUUGUUAUUUUCAUUUUAACCAAUGGAGUUACAGGUUCCACGUGAACAGCAGCAGGUCUUCAUGUUUGAAGGCUGAACGAUAAAAGAAAAAUUUAUUGAGGAAACUCGACUCAGACUCUUAGCCCUCGUCUACAUGAACAGAAACACCUGUGGGAUCGCAGGUAAAUUCAGACUCAUGAUAUGUGUGUCAGUUUUACUCGGAGAGUUGAGGAAGUUGUGAUGUUGUCAUAUCUGUUUUGGUUUUGUACAGUUUGUUGAAAUUUUAAAGAAUCUUUCAAUUUACAUUGACUUUUCAGUAUUUGAAUAAAAAUAAUCCACAGG
This is a long non-coding RNA of Melanotaenia boesemani (Boeseman's rainbowfish), 1355 nucleotides long. RefSeq lists it as uncharacterized. The record is from RefSeq and is a predicted model, not a curated record. NCBI's taxonomy places the organism in Eukaryota, Metazoa, Chordata, Actinopteri, Atheriniformes, Melanotaeniidae. The transcript is spliced from 2 exons.